Molecule: ribosomal RNA, 373 nt
Filed under: uncultured organism
Description: bacterial SSU rRNA
Rfam family: Archaeal small subunit ribosomal RNA
Source: RNAcentral
CCAGCACCCCGAGUGGUCGGACGAUUAUUGGGCCUAAAGCAUCCGUAGCCGGUUUUACAAGUCCUCCGUUAAAUCCAACUGCUUAACAGAUGGGCCGCGGAGGAUACUAUAAGACUAGGAGGCAGGAGAGGCAAGCGGUACUCAGUGGUAGGGGUAAAAUCCGUUGAUCCAUUGAAGACCACCAGUGGCGAAGGCGGCUUGCCAGAAUGCGCUCGACGGUGAGGGAUGAAAGCUGGGGGAGCAAACCGGAUUAGAUACCCGGGUAGUCCCAGCUGUAAACGAUGCAGACUCGGUGAUGGACUAGCUUUAUGCUAGUCCAGUGCCGCAGGGAAGCCGUUAAGUCUGCCGCCUGGGUAGUACGGUCGCAAGACUG